AGAGUUUGAUCCUGGCUCAGAACGAACGCUGGCGGCGUGCUUAACACAUGCAAGUCGAACGUGAUCCAGAGCUUGCUCUGGUGAAAGUGGCGCACGGGUGAGUAACGCGUGGAUAACCUGCCCUGGUAUCUGGGAUAACAUCUCGAAAGGGGUGCUAAUACCGGAUAAGCCUACGGGGUCCUCGGACUCUGCAGGAAAAGGUGGCCUCUAUUUAUAAGCUACCGUAUCAGGAUGGGUCCGCGUACCAUUAGCUAGUUGGUGGGGUAAUGGCCAACCAAGGCGACGAUGGUUAGCUGGUCUGAGAGGAUGAUCAGCCACACUGGAACUGAGACACGGUCCAGACUCCUAGGGGAGGCAGCAGUGGGGAAUUUUGCGCAAUGGGGGAAACCCUGACGCAGCAACGCCGCGCGAGUGAUGAAGGCUUUCGGGUCGUAAAGCUCUGUCAGAGGGGAAGAAAUGAGCCUGGCUAAUAUCCAGGUUUCUUGACGGUACCCUCAAAGGAAGCACCGGCUAACUCCGUGCCAGCAGCCGCGGUAAUUC
This 540-nucleotide ribosomal RNA is filed under the name uncultured bacterium. Its description in RNAcentral is "bacterial SSU rRNA". It matches the Rfam family "Bacterial small subunit ribosomal RNA", at positions 8 to 526 of the family's 1533-position model. The record is from RNAcentral.